Molecule: long non-coding RNA, 961 nt
Organism: Panicum virgatum (switchgrass)
Lineage: Eukaryota; Viridiplantae; Streptophyta; Magnoliopsida; Poales; Poaceae
Exons: 3
Source: RefSeq, a predicted model, not a curated record
CGCGUUCUGCGCCGGUAGCGCCUGCCCCUGCUAAUGCCACCACUUGCAACGCCUGCCCGCAUCGCCCGCCGCAACACGCACGCCCUUGCUCGCGCUAGCUGCCAAACUAGCGAAACUGCCCGGUCGCGCGCCCUUGACUGCCGCACCACGCGUCCCGAUCUAGACGCCGAAAACCACCGACCCCAGCCGUGCAAGCCCUAGCGCCGAGCCCCUAUAAGACCAUCCGUAGCCGCCGUUUCCCCCGAACCCUAGAUCACUCGAGGAUUUUUCCCCAAUCCGCCGCUGCCGCUAGAAAAAUAGAGGAAAGGAGGGAGAAGAAAAGAAGGGGAAGAGAAGCAGAGCAAGAGGAGGAGCUCAGAGCCGAGGAAGGAGAAGAGGAGGAAAGGAGAGGAAGAGAAGGGGGGAGGAGGAGCUCGACGCUGCCGCCAUGUCGAGGGGAGAAGCCGAGGAGGAGGAAUCGACACUGGAGCCUGAUGCCAGUGCCACCCGAGCUGAGGACGCCAUCGCCGGACUUCAUCAAGCCGGCGCCCGUACGACUCCGUCAACGAACCAGUGCAGCACUGCAUGGCCACGCCCCCGCCUGCGUCAACUCGCCACGGCACCGAGCACCACAUCUCCGAGCCCGGCCGGCCCCUAGCGAUGAAGAGUUGAUCGACGCCCCUGACGCCCGGAAGACCCAGGAGGACGUCCCGGACUAUGAGAAGCCCCUGGAGACCUAGAACAACUACGACGAGACGCCAGUUUGGAAGAUGCAGGAUCCGACUCGAAGAUCAACGACGACAUUGACGGAGGAAUUAAGGACGGCCCGUGCUUCGCUCAAGUUUGCCUGUGGAGGAAAGACAUCAAGAUGGAGGAUGCCCAGAAGUCUAGCUACCGCUUCCGUUUUCUAUUUGUCUCCUUUAGCCCGAGGGGCUUGUACCAGGAAAACUCGUACUACAAUCCACUAGAUUAUAUAAUAUUU